CCUGUGCUGAGAUGACAGGGGGAGCUGGUGCAGCAGAGGAGACCCAGCCUGGGGCUGAGACUCCAGGGAAAGGGAGGGAGGAAGAGAGGAGAAGGGAGGGGAGAGAGGAUGGGAGAAAGGAAAUGGAGGAAGGGUGAACUUAGGAGGUUCCAUGUGCACCCCUCCCAUUCCACCUUCUAGCAUUUGGGACUGAGAAAUCAGCAGAUCUAGGUUUGGAACUUGCCACUGCUGUUUGCUGUGUGAGUCUGGGCAUGUCAAGAAACCUCUCUGAGCUCAGAGUGUAUCGUCUUUAGAAUGAAAAUAAUUGCUAAUUGCUGUCUGGUAGAACUAUUUUGAGGUAUGUCAAUAACAUGCAUAAAGCACUUGUCACAGAGUAGCUACACUGUAGCAAUUGUGAUUAGCUCCACCCCCACGCUCAGGAGGGUUCUUGCCAGUCUUCUGUUGCUUCAUAGCUCCAUCCUUUGGUUGUCACAGGCUCAUGACAGGUGUCUAUCCCUCCCACUCCAGAGUGCUGAGGAGGGGAUCGCAGAGGCAUGAUUGCUGCCAGUACCAGUCUGGCACCAAGGGUGGCACCGUUAGGUUCCAGCAGCCUCCCGUCACAGUGGGUAGGGCCAGAGGAGAAGAGGCCAGCACUGUCACUUGAAACACAAGGAAUCGCAGGCCCAGACAGGAAACUGUCUAGCCCAAGGUCAUCCAGCAAAUUGCUGGCAGGUCGUUUUACCCAUUUUAGCAGAUGGCUAAAGCCCGCCUCUCGUAUUUAUUUUAAGCCUAUCUUUUUAAUGACUGAGAACCAGGAGAUGACGCCAAUGGUGACACUGACGAGGCAGAGGAGGAAAAGGAUUGGCAGCAUGGAGCUCCAGUUACAGGCCCGCCCAGCCCAUCUCCUCAAGGCACUCCUGUGAGCUGCAAAGGACAAGAGCUUCCUUUCUGGCUUCUACCCUCAAAGAACUCAGCACUUUGCAGUUGAUUACUCCACAGCCCUUUGAUUUGUGAGAGAAACUGGCAGCAGGGCUGUCCCCGACCACCAGCAGAAUUAGAGGUCUGACUUCAGGUGAGCAAAGCUCCUUCCACCUCUCUCCUUCUCUUUUUUUCCUUUCCCGCCUCCUCUUCUGGCUUGUUUUGAAGCUUAUUUUUAACAAGGGAUUGGAAACUUCAGAUGCAGCAAGGCUCUGGGACAACAGGAGGUGUGGGUUUGAUGCUGACUGGCUGGAGGAGGUGUGGCCUGGAAGCAGAUGGAGAUUAAUGCUAAUGUCGCUCAGCAUUGACUGAGCACCUACUGAAUGCAGACAUCUGGCUUGGUGCCUGCAGCUGUUUUCUAUUCCCCAACGCUCUUUGAGGGAGACUGUUCAUUUUACAAGCAGGGAAACAAAGGCACAUGGAGGUUUAGAAAGGCCCCAGGUCACACAGCAAGGAAUGGGGCGCACUCCAGAGCCCAGAUCAUUGCCACUACCUGGGCUGGGAUGUCAGAAGUUACAAGGGACUUCCCAGCCCUGUCCCUCUGUGAGAUCACAGCAUAGGAGCUCUGCCGUCCCCACUCCCAGACACAUUUCUGGAUGCUUAGAGGUGUGUCUCCCAAACCCAAGCUCACCCUUCUGGUGGCCCAGAAGCGGCUCCUUUCCUCCUUUGCUGUCCUUAUCCUGAGUAACGUGGGAUUUUAAAAUGGGAAAGACAAUGACCUAGCUCUGGGUGGCUCUUGUGUGACCAGGAGAAGAAAACCCUAGUCUAGGAACUUCCAGGGUCCUCACUCUGGCCCAAUCUGGGGCUAUGAGAAGGCUUUCCGAGGAGGCGACCACUAGCUUCCUUUACUCCUGCAGGAGCAGCCCUGUGAGGGGACAGUGUGGUGCAGUGGAGGGAGCCUGUCUUUGGCGUCUAACUGAUCAGGUGGCCCUCCUCCUGCUACACACAGGAGAAAAUCCAGAGCUUCCACUAAGGGUGGCCAGGCCCUUUCUGAUCUGGGUCUAACCACCAGCUCAACCCUCUUCUUGCUCUGGGUGCCAGCAACACUGAGCCCAGACACCAAAUCCUUUCCCUUCUCAGGGCCUCUGACAUGCUGUUUCCUCUUCCUGGAACGCUCUUGCCUUCUUCUUGUCUGCUUGGUUCCUUUUCAUCCUUUGGGCCUCAGAGAGGCUGCAUAGUCCUGAUCCACCUAUCUGUGCUCCGCUCCCACCCACUAUUUAAUCCGCAGCACUUGUAACUGACUUUGCCAGUGCUGUGAGGACAGGAAUAAGGCCUUCCCUUUACAUCUUUGCAUCCAAGUGCCUACCGUUAGCCUGAGCCCAGCCUAGACCACAGUAAGUACCAAUUAACAAAUAAUUGUAAUUAACUGCACUGGAAUCUCAGUUUCUUCCUUUGUGAAGUGAGCAUAGUAACGUCUACUUUCUAAGGAUGGUGAGAAGUUGAAAUAAGUAAUAGUGACAAUUAAUAUUAAUUCUGGUCAAGUCCAACUAAGCAUUGCUGGUGCACUUACAUAUCUUAAAAACUUGCAAUGAGGAAACUGAGACUCUGAGAGGUGGCCUAAGAUCAGCUCCUAGGAAAGCUGACCAUCAGGGGGUCUGGGGCUCACUUCGGCCUUUGUCCAUGCCUUCUGCUGUCCCUGGGAUGAUCAUAUAGCCUCUCUUGGCCUCAGUGUUUUUAAUAUGGAGAAUGGGACCAGCGACGCAAGACCUCAGGGAGACUACAAGACCUCAGAGGGAUGAGCAAGGCGUAGAGACACUUCCACAUGGAACAGAGAGCUAACCCGGAAGCCCCACCUUCAUGGACCACUCAGGGCUCAUCCUCUCUGUCAGCUGACCCUCUCCCAUUGCCCUUCAGCAGACUUCCCUCCCUACCUAAGGACAUUUGCAUGAGCAGAGCAUCUCCAGCGACUGCAUUCCCGCCACCUGCUCAUGUGUCUCUCUCCCCACCUGAAGCCACAAAUACAUAUGCAAAGGCCAGUUUAUUAAUUUGUGUUUGAGCGCAGAGCGGGGGACACCACCGAGAAAGGGGAUUAGGCAGCAGUGGUGGGAGACAACAGAUGGCUUGAUUGCUUUUACCUGUUGCUAAUUUGUUAGGCAACAAUCCCUUGUUUGUGUUUAAUUGUGCCCAGAUUUUGCGGUGGCAGGGCACCACGCACUUGAAGGCACUUGGGUGCCUUCUUGGGGUGAAGGGUGAGGUGGCCUGCCUGGGAAUUAAAUACCAGAAUCUAGAAAUGCAUGUCUUUCUUGCCCUAACUCUGAUCCUCUCUUCAACUGGACACUCAGAGUCCUCUGGAUUAUAUUAGCAGCAAGGAGGGUGCUGAGGCAGGAGGUGGCAGGGCGGGCUCUCUCAUUCACCAGCUGUGUGACCUUCUGUAGGUCGCUUAGCAUCUCUGGGCCCCAUUUGCUCAGCUGGGAAAUGUGCAUCAUCACACCUGCCCUAUCUACUUUGCAGGGUUGCUGUGUGAACUGAGAUAAUGGAUCUGAGAGCACUCUGACAUGUAUAAUGCUCUAUUAUAGUGAGGCAUUAUUUGCUAGCAGAGCAGUUAAGUGCUUAGAUUCUGGAGUCAGCUAGGCCUGGACUGAAUUCCAGCUGAGCCACUGACACCUGUGUGGUCUUGGGUAAGAAACUUCAGCUUUCUGCACCUCAGUUUCCUUCCCUCUACAAUGGGGUGCUAACAGUCCCUGCCUCAACAGGUUGCUCGGAGGAGGGAAUGUGUUAAAGCGUGGGGCAGGCUCAGCUCAGCUUUUUUAGAAUGUGCGUGUCCUCCCAGUGAGCUGUCAUUAGGAUUCCGUGGCUCCCCUUUGCAGCCUUGGUUUAAGACUUGCUGUUCUGUAAAGCCUGCUGUCAUCUGUGUCCCCCUGCCCCAACCUUCCUGAUGCUCUCUUCUCUGUAUCACCCUUCUGGUAGAAAUGUGUUGGGGGAUUACUUCUUCCCCAUCAGCUAUAAUCUGAUAGGAUGUUAACCUGGAGCCUGUGAUUCUGUCACCAAAAGGACAGCAAGUGAACAAGCAUAGCUGCCUUCUGGAGUUAGGAAGGAGGCAUCAAGCCUCUGAAAUACAGGGAGCUCAUGUCCCCAUAGCACAGGGCCCAGGACAAAGAGGUCUUGAUUUCUCUGUUUUC
Long non-coding RNA from Papio anubis (olive baboon), 4076 nucleotides. Lineage: Eukaryota; Metazoa; Chordata; Mammalia; Primates; Cercopithecidae. The record is from Ensembl.